Molecule: long non-coding RNA, 708 nt
Filed under: Medicago truncatula (barrel medic)
Lineage: Eukaryota; Viridiplantae; Streptophyta; Magnoliopsida; Fabales; Fabaceae
Description: lncRNA gene36161
Source: RNAcentral
AUGAUUGAUGAAGCAUCCAUAAAGAAUGGAGAGUCUGAGAUGUAUAAUCUGUUUCUUUUGACUUCCACUUCUUUCAUACUCUUUAUAACCUCUUGAAACUAGUUGUUGAGUGACUGAUUUUGAGCUUCAUUAGAUAGUCUUUGCAGAUCACAUAAGACUUUAUCUACUCUUUCUCUUAGAUCAGUCCACUUGUCUUCAUAAUUCACAGAGUGAACUGGAUUGUUUCUAGCCUUGACAAGUUUUGACAGAUCCUCAAAAAUAUUUUCUCAUACCUCUUUUAAUACAAUAAAAUCUAAUAGCAGGGUAGGAGGUGGUGAAACAUGGCUAGUUUGAGGUGCAGGGAUAAAAACUUGAUCUAGGAUAGGCUGAUUUGUAGAUGAAGAGGGUGUAUCAAGUGUUGAUUGAGAUGAGAUGUUUGGAUUUCUAUCAGUAAUGAAUUUAGGCAUAUCUUCAUCAGAAGAGUCCAGUGAACCACAUAUGGUCCAACCUGGCUGAUGAGAUGUUCCUGAAUCAAUAGAUGCUUGGCUAGUAGAGGCUGAGGCAGGUGUAGAUUGAAUAGAAGGUCCAAGAAUGAAAUAUUUGUUGGCUAAGUUAUCAAGUGCAGUACCUAAUGAGUUCAAGGGUUGAGUUGCACUGAUAAGUUGAACUACUUGAGCCUAGUCAUCAGAUACUGAAGCAUAAGCAUCAUACAUCGAUUGAUCAGUUGAU